Molecule: ribosomal RNA, 1208 nt
Filed under: Bemisia tabaci
Lineage: Eukaryota; Metazoa; Arthropoda; Insecta; Hemiptera; Aleyrodidae
Description: 16S ribosomal RNA
Source: RNAcentral
UAAUAUUAAAAAUUUGAAAAGCCUUUUAUUGAUUAAACUAAAGUUAAGAAUUAACUAAAAUUUAAAUUUUUAAAAAAUUUAACUAAAUAAAGACUAGAAAAAAUAUGUAAUUAAAAUAUAAGUGGAGAUAAUAAUCUUAUACCUUUUGUAUCAGGGUUAAUUAAAAAUUAAAAAGAAUUUAAUAUCUCGAAAUUUACUAAUAUAUAAAAAUUUAAUAUUAUUACCAUUUAAAAGGUCAGAUAAAUAAAUUUUUAGAUUUCAGAUGAAACCAAGUUUUAAAUAUCUAGUUAUUAAAUAAAUUAGUUUAAUUAAAUAUUGUUUCAUCUGAAUAAUUAUCUAAAUUAAAAGUUUAAACAAUUAAAGGCUUUAAAAGUUAAGUAUUAAAGUAAGAUAAAUUAAAAUACUAAAUAUUACCUAAAUAAAAUUGAUAAUUUUUAAUAUAAAAACAUAUAAAAAUUUAGAAACAUAACUUUAAAUUUUAAACAAAAUUAUUUUAAUAUUUAAUUAAAAUCAAACAUAAUCAAGUAGAAUAAAAUGAUUAAAUUAAUAUACAAUUCAAAUUUAGAUUAAUAAUUAAGCAAUUAAUCAGUUUCCAUCUGUUUAUCAAAAACAUAGUUUAAAGAAAAAAAUUUUAGAUAGAUUCUGCUCAGUGAUUAAAUUUUAAAUAGCUGCAGUAAAUUAACUGUACUAAGGUAGCGUAAUAAAUUGCUUUAUAAUUGAAAGCUUGAAUGAAAGAAAUAAUGUGAAAUAAACUUUUUAAAAUAAAAUAGUAUAAAUUAAUAUUUAAGUGAAAAAUCUUAAAUUAAAUCAAAAGACAAGAAGACCCUUUAGAACUUAACAGAUAAGUCUAGCUUUACUUGACCUACUUGUUAAGUUGGGGAGAUUUUUAAAUAAAUAAAUCUUUAAAUAUAAGUAAAAUGAUAUUAAUCAAGUUAAAUUAUCCAAAUAUGAAAUAAAACAAGUUACCUAAGGGAUAACAGCGCAAAAUUUUUGAAAAGUUCUCAUUUACAAAAUAUAUUGCGACCUCGAUGUUGGAUUAAGAAUAAUCUAUAAAGAAAAAUUUAUAGGAAUUGGUCUGUUCGCCCAAUUAACUCUUACAUGAUCUGAGUUCAGACCGGCGUAAGCCAGGUCAGUUUAUAUCUUUGAUAAUUUGAUUCUAGGCUACAGUACGAAAGGGAUCUAGAAAAGUAAAAUUUUUAUAUAAGAAA